RNAcentral lists this ribosomal RNA (1796 nucleotides) under Linopodes sp. AD1085. RNAcentral's name for it is "SSU rRNA". It matches the Rfam family "Eukaryotic small subunit ribosomal RNA". The record is from RNAcentral. Lineage: Eukaryota; Metazoa; Arthropoda; Arachnida; Trombidiformes; Cocceupodidae.
UCAUAUGCUUGUCUCAAAGAUUAAGCCAUGCAUGUCUAAGUCCAACUAAACAAACAAGUGAAACCGCGAAUGGCUCAUUAAAUCAGUUACGUUUUCCAAGAUGUUAUUCCCGUUACACGGAUAACUGUGGUAAUUCUAGAGCUAAUACGUGCACCAAAGCCUCGACUCGCAAGGGAAGAGGCGCAUAUAUUAGACCAAGACCAAUGUCGUUUCGGCGACAACGAGAAGGUGACUCUGGAUAUACUGGCUGACCGCACGGCCCUGGCGCCGGCGGCGAAUCUUUCAAGUGUCUGCUCUAUCAACUGUCGACGGUAGGUUAGACGCCUACCGUGGUUGUAACGGGUGACGGGGAAUCAGGGUUCGAUUCCGGAGAGGGAGCCUGAGAAACGGCUACCACAUCCAAGGAAGGCAGCAGGCACGCAAAUUACCCACUCUCAGUACGAGGAGGUAGUGACGAAAAAUACCAAUACCGGACUCUUAUGAGGCCCGGCAAUUGGAAUGAGAACAAUCUAAAUCCUUUAGCGAGGAUCAAAUGGAGGGCAAGUCUGGUGCCAGCAGCCGCGGUAAUUCCAGCUCCAUUAGCGUAUAUUAAAGUUGUUGCGGUUAAAAAGCUCGUAGUUGGAUCUCUGUGCUGACGAGGGCGACGCGCGCGAGCGCGUAACGUCAGAUCGCGGCACACACACAUAGCCGAUGUCCGGCGGCGGCGGUGCCCUUAACCGGGCGCUCCCCACGGUGCGGCACGUUUACUUUGAAAAAAUGAGAGUGCUCAAAGCAGGGCGAGAACGCCCAUUGAAUAAUCUUGCAUGGAAUAAUGGAAUAGGACCUCGGUCUCAAUUCUGUUGGUCUUACAGACCUGAGGUAAUGAUUAAGAGGGACAGACGGGGGCAUUCGUAUUGCGGCGCUAGAGGUGAAAUUCUUGGACCGUCGCAAGACGAACUAAAGCGAAAGCAUUUGCCAAGAAUGUUUUCAUUAAUCAAGAACGAAAGUUAGAGGUUCGAAGGCGAUCAGAUACCGCCCUAGUUCUAACCAUAAACGAUGCCAACCAGCAAUCAGCCAGAGUUGCUAACAAUGACUCGGCUGGCGGCUUCCGGGAAACCAAAGUGUUUGGGUUCCGGGGGAAGUAUGGUUGCAAAGCUGAAACUUAAAGGAAUUGACGGAAGGGCACCACCAGGAGUGGAGCCUGCGGCUUAAUUUGACUCAACACGGGAAAACUCACCCGGCCCGGACACUAGGAGGAUUGACAGACUGACUAGCUCUUUCUUGAUUCAGUGGGUGGUGGUGCAUGGCCGUUCUUAGUUGGUGGAGCGAUUUGUCUGGUUAAUUCCGAUAACGAACGAGACUCUAGCCUACUAGUUAGCCGGCCCGGCCGUUCCGCGUCCGGGCAGCGAGCUUCUUAGAGGGACAGACGGCGAGUAAGCCGUACGAGAUAGAGCAAUAACAGGUCUGUGAUGCCCUUAGAUGUCCGGGGCCGCACGCGCGCUACACUGAAGUGAUCAGCACGCUAGCAAGCCCGCUCCGAGAGGAGCGGGUAACCGUUUGAACCCCCUUCAUGAUAGGGAUUGAGCUUUGUAACUAUUGCUCAUGAACGAGGAAUUCCCAGUAGGCGUGAGUCAUUACCUUACGCCGAUUACGUCCCUGCCCUUUGUACACACCGCCCGUCGCUACUACCGAUUGAAUGGCAGAGUGAGGUCUUCGGACAGGCUGCCGGAGCCGGCCUCGGCUGGCACCGGACUGUGCUUGAAAGAUGCCCGAACUCGAUCAUUUAGAGGAAGUAAAAGUCGUAACAAGGUUUCCGU